GAGCACAGAGCAAAUGGCGACCGGGGCAAAUUAAAGACUCGCUCCAGUGCACUGCCAGUGAAAGGGCAAAAACAAGUCUGAGAGGGGAAAGGAGGUGCUUUUCUAGAGUGAAAAUUCCACUUCUUGAAGAGGUUAGCUGUGGGCUUUUGGAGACGAGGGGGCAUAGAGACCUCAGUAAGCUGCAGGUGUGGCUUUCUUGCUGGAGAUGGACAUUAUGAGAGACACGCUGUACAGAAUGAUUCUACAAAAGGACUACGAGUGUGGACUCUGGAUACCAGCGCUGAUGCUGGUUAAUGAUUGGUUGAGGGGGGCUGAUUGCUGAUUGGUGGACAACAACGUUUGAUGAAACCCCACGGUCACUGUGACUAAUCACUCACAUUGUGACAUCUCACAAACAUGCCUCUUCAAAAGCAUAAACGCAAAACAUGUAUACAAUCUACAAGUGGACAUGCACAUCUAUAUGAAGACUCACCUGGAUCUGUUGCUGCAGGAGGUUGAUUUUGUGUUGUUGCUGCAGAAGUUGCUGCUGUUGUCGUGCAAUCUGUGGACAGAACAUGUCAAACUGUCAGAUAUGUCAAACUGUUUUUUCAAGAAGAGAGGAGAUUAUUUGUGCAGAUGGGUUCACAUGCCUGUAUGGUGACGGUAAACUGUGUGUUUGAA
This is a long non-coding RNA of Carassius gibelio (silver crucian carp), 660 nucleotides long. RefSeq lists it as uncharacterized. Lineage: Eukaryota; Metazoa; Chordata; Actinopteri; Cypriniformes; Cyprinidae. The record is from RefSeq and is a predicted model, not a curated record. The transcript is spliced from 3 exons.